This 407-nucleotide ribosomal RNA is filed under the name Cynomorium coccineum. RNAcentral's name for it is "bacterial SSU rRNA". It matches the Rfam family "Bacterial small subunit ribosomal RNA", at positions 623 to 1030 of the family's 1533-position model. Lineage: Eukaryota; Viridiplantae; Streptophyta; Magnoliopsida; Saxifragales; Cynomoriaceae. The record is from RNAcentral.
ACGGUGGAAACUAUCAAGCUUGAGUACGUUAGGGGCAGAGGGAAUUUAUGGUGGAGCGGUUAUAUGUGUAGAGAUCAGAAAGAACACCAACGGCGAAAGCACUCUGCUGGGACGAUACUGACACUGAGAGACGAAAGCUAGGGGAGCAAAUGGGAUUAGAUACCCCGGUAGUCCUAGCCGUAAACGAUGGAUACUAAGCGCUGUGUAUCGACCCGUGCAGUACUGUAGCUAACGCAUUAAGUAUCCCGCCUGGGGAGUAUGUUCGCAAGAAUGAAACUCAAAGGAAUUGGCGGGGGCCCGCACAAGCGGUGGAGCAUGUGGUUUAAUUCGAUGCAAAGCGAAGAACCUUACCAGGGCUUGACAUGCCGCGAAUCCUAUCGAAAGAUAGGGGUGCCCUCGGGAACGUG